GCUGGAUGUGAGGAUGGGACCCACUUUGCUCUGUGAGCUGGGCCUAUUCUUGCUCUGUACGCUCCUCUGCACUGGACACGCUCAAGAUGCUGUGUUAACUAUUGAACCCAACUGGUCCAGUUUUUUCAUUGGAGAGUUUGUUACCUUCAUGUGUGACAUGAAUGAA
Archocentrus centrarchus (flier cichlid) is the source of this 166-nucleotide long non-coding RNA. RefSeq lists it as uncharacterized. NCBI's taxonomy places the organism in Eukaryota, Metazoa, Chordata, Actinopteri, Cichliformes, Cichlidae. The transcript is spliced from 3 exons. The record is from RefSeq and is a predicted model, not a curated record.